AGGCUGCUAGUUGUCCGGGUUUCGCAAGUUUGCCCUCUGGUUUUACUGUUAAAGAGAGGCCAUUGUAACUGAGAACUAGCUUUGAAUAUAGCUGCUGCUACAUCUUUCCAGGCUUAUGAGAUAAUCCUCUUUUAGGUACCCAGGUAUUUAGUAUCUGUCUUUCAAAGGGAUGUAACUCUCACCUACUUCUCCAGAACCAAGUCUACAUGAGGCCAUGUGCCUGCUGCCACGCUUCACACCUGGAUGAUAAUGGACUCACCUCUGGAUCUGUAAACAAGCCCCCAAAUUAUAUGCUUUCUUUUAUAAGAAUUGCUUUGGCUAUGGUGUUCUUCACAGCAAUAAAAUAGCGAGGAAGACAGAAGUUGAUACCAGGAAACUGAGUAUUGCUGUGACAGGCAUGACCAUGCUGUAUAUUGGUGGAAUGUGAACUUUGGACUAGAAAAGUGACUGAGUGGUUUAAGUCAGGAUUUUAUGGGCAAUACUAGUAGCAAGGACCCUUGUAUUGGGAAAAUGUAGACAAGUGGGAGACCAGAACAGGAAGUUGCAGAGGGAGAAAUUAUACAAAGUGAAUACAAAGCAACCUAGUGACCAUUCUUGAUGUAUUUCAGCAAAGACGUGGCUGCUUUUGCCCAUGUCCUGAAAAUCUGCCCGAGUUUUUGAUUAAUGAUGGCAGAGGAGAUGUCAAUUUUGACACUAAGUGGAAUAAAAAGAGCAGUAACCUCAAGUAAGACCCCACCCAGUUAAAGUUCCAACUUGUAAAAGGGAAUUAAAGAAGUUUAAGCAGUGAAGGAAACUAUCAAGAAGGGAAAGCUGAUGCAAAUGUAAAUGAAUCAGAGGGCCAAGUUCCAGGCCAGCAAGCAGCUGGACUUGGCAGCUUCAGCCAAGUGGUUCUGGCCUUAGAGUCAAGGAAAUCAAGAGACCAAGUCCUUAAAAUAUACAACGGAAUGGCUCUUCCCCAACUGGCUAAGAAAAGGUGCUGAGUCCAGGCAAGUGCUGUGGGUGUUGAGGACCCAGGUGUCCAUGCAGUGAUCCAUGAAGAAAUGAGAAUGAAACCUUGGUUCAGAUAGACUUCGUCAACCUAGAUUAGACUUCGGGGAGUUUAAUUUUAGGCCAUUCAUUGUCAGCAUAUUAAAACAGUACAAUUUGGGAAAAUUACUAAAUAUUUUCCCUUUAAGUAAAUUAUUUUAUUCUUUUUUGGAAGAGUUACUUAGUUUUAUUUUAUUUGGAAGGAUGAAUAAAUAGUAGAAAAUGUAUCUAAUACAUUUUGUAAGGAAUAUUGAAAUUAUUCAAAAUAAAAUAUCUGGUUGUGUGAUUUGU
This 1317-nucleotide long non-coding RNA is filed under the name Mus caroli (Ryukyu mouse). RNAcentral's name for it is "lncRNA (MGP_CAROLIEiJ_G0006287.1)". Lineage: Eukaryota; Metazoa; Chordata; Mammalia; Rodentia; Muridae. The record is from RNAcentral.